UACGAAGGGGGCUAGCGUUGUUCGGAAUUACUGGGCGUAAAGCGCACGUAGGCGGAUACUUAAGUCAGGGGUGAAAUCCCGGGGCUCAACCCCGGAACUGCCUUUGAUACUGGGUAUCUCGAGUCCGGAAGAGGUGAGUGGAGUUCCGAGUGUAGAGGUGAAAUUCGUAGAUAUUCGGAGGAACACCAGUGGCGAAGGCGGCUCACUGGUCCGGUACUGACGCUGAGACACGAAAGCCAGGGGAGCGAACGGG
This 253-nucleotide ribosomal RNA is filed under the name uncultured bacterium. RNAcentral describes it as "partial 16S ribosomal RNA". It matches the Rfam family "Bacterial small subunit ribosomal RNA", at positions 524 to 776 of the family's 1533-position model. The record is from RNAcentral.